RNAcentral lists this microRNA precursor (83 nucleotides) under Ovis aries (sheep). RNAcentral describes it as "miRNA (ENSOARG00000021778.1)". Lineage: Eukaryota; Metazoa; Chordata; Mammalia; Artiodactyla; Bovidae. The record is from RNAcentral.
AAUGGGUUGCCCAAGAAGUCCAUUUGGGUUUUUCCAUCACAUCUUAUAGAAAAACUUGAAUGAACUUUAGGGUUUGAACCCAG